GAUGAACGCUGGCGGCGUGCUUAACACAUGCAAGUCGAACGAUGAAGCCCAGCUUGCUGGGUGGAUUAGUGGCGAACGGGUGAGUAACACGUGAGUAACCUGCCCUUAACUCUGGGAUAAGCCUGGGAAACUGGGUCUAAUACCGGAUAGGAGCGCCUACCGCAUGGUGGGUGUUGGAAAGAUUUAUCGGUUUUGGAUGGACUCGCGGCCUAUCAGCUUGUUGGUGAGGUAAUGGCUCACCAAGGCGACGACGGGUAGCCGGCCUGAGAGGGUGACCGGCCACACUGGGACUGAGACACGGCCCAGACUCCUACGGGAGGCAGCAGUGGGGAAUAUUGCACAAUGGGCGAAAGCCUGAUGCAGCGACGCCGCGUGAAGGAUGACGGCCUUCGGGUUGUAAACCUCUUUCAGUAGGGAAGAAGCGAAAGUGACGGUACCUGCAGAAGAAGCACCGGCUAACUACGUG
RNAcentral lists this ribosomal RNA (466 nucleotides) under uncultured bacterium. RNAcentral's name for it is "partial 16S ribosomal RNA". It matches the Rfam family "Bacterial small subunit ribosomal RNA", at positions 28 to 507 of the family's 1533-position model. The record is from RNAcentral.